AUUGAACGCUGGCGGCAUGCCUUACACAUGCAAGUCGAACGGCAGCGCGGGAGCAAUCCUGGCGGCGAGUGGCGAACGGGUGAGUAAUAUAUCGGAACGUGCCCAGUAGUGGGGGAUAGCCCGGCGAAAGCCGGAUUAAUACCGCAUGAGACCUGAGGGUGAAAGCGGGGGAUCGCAAGACCUCGCGCUAUUGGAGCGGCCGAUAUCAGAUUAGCUAGUUGGUGGGGUAAAGGCCUACCAAGGCAACGAUCUGUAGUUGGUCUGAGAGGACGACCAGCCACACUGGGACUGAGACACGGCCCAGACUCCUACGGGAGGCAGCAGUGGGGAAUUUUGGACAAUGGGCGCAAGCCUGAUCCAGCAAUGCCGCGUGAAUGAUGAAGGCCUUAGGGUUGUAAAAUUCUUUUAGUGGGGAAGAAAAUGACUGUACCCACAGAAAAGCUCCGGCUAACUCCGUG
RNAcentral lists this ribosomal RNA (458 nucleotides) under uncultured bacterium. RNAcentral's name for it is "bacterial SSU rRNA". It matches the Rfam family "Bacterial small subunit ribosomal RNA", at positions 30 to 507 of the family's 1533-position model. The record is from RNAcentral.